AUUGAACGCUGGCGGCAGGCCUAACACAUGCAAGUCGAACGAGUGGCGGACUGGUGAGUAAUGUCUGGGAAACUGCCUGAUGGAGGGGGAUGACUACUGGAAAAGGUAGCUAAUACCGCAUACCAUCAGAUGUGCCCAGGUGGGAUUAGCUAGUUGGUGGGGUAACGGCUCACCAAGGCGACGAUCCCUAGCUGGCCUGAGAGGAUGACCAGCCACACUGGAACUGAGACACGGUCCAGACUCCUACGGGAGGCAGCAGUGGGGAAUAUUGCACAAUGGGCGAAAGCCUGAUGCAGCCAUGCCGCGUGUAUGAAGAAGGCCUUCGGGUUGUAAAGUACUUUCAUCGGGGAGGCGUUACCUGCAGAAGAAGCACCGGCUAACUCCGUGCCAGCCGCCGCGGUAAUUC
RNAcentral lists this ribosomal RNA (406 nucleotides) under uncultured bacterium. RNAcentral's name for it is "partial 16S ribosomal RNA". It matches the Rfam family "Bacterial small subunit ribosomal RNA", at positions 30 to 526 of the family's 1533-position model. The record is from RNAcentral.